GAAGUUGUGAAGGUUGAUGCUGUGAAUGCGCUCGGUCAUCCCCUUGCAACUGAUGUCACCUGCAGCAUGUCAACGCAGACACAAAACAGGGCAUGGGUCAGAUCUAGCUGGUUGCAUUCCUAACACCUAGGUUUCAGAGUAAAAAUACAGAGUCAGCUUGUGAUGGCAUUCCCUCAAAACAUGGAAGGAAUUGCAGUAAUGAAAGUCAUCAUGUAUUCUAAGAGACUGUUCUGCGAGAGCACAACACAGACGGGGCUAAAGCAGGGUGAGAAGCAAAAGUGCUCAGGAGUUAAGAGAAGCAGACGUCCGAAAUUAUCUCCAUGCAUUACCAAAAACCGUGGGCACCACGGCACGGGGAAAACUUACCAGGUACAAUGAGCCAGUGACUGUUACUGAAUUUCUUAAGAUUACACUUUUCCCAACUACUGCAGACUGCUUCAGAAUAGAAGAAGACAACUCUCAUGCCAUCAAGCCGACGGACUUUCAAAAAAAUAAAAGAUGCAUUUCUUUACUUGAGCUACGGUGAAAGGGCACCUAAGGUGAAUGGACAGAUUGUAGAUGGGUGCACACAGGAAAAUGUACAGCUCCUACAAUGUAUUCUGAGGGCCCAUGAGAAGUAAAAGCAGGCACUGGCAUUCUGCACAGAUGAAAUACUUCCUACGACAGGAAUACAUGCUCACUUGUGGACUUCUCUGUAAUCUGUAGGCAACAUCAGCUCCUGAUUUCUAGGUCUGGAUCUGGGUUCUCUGUAGCACAGGAAGCAUAGUUACUCUGUGAUGAAGAAAAACUCAGAAAACUAUCCAGAUGUGGGAAUUUCUCGGGUAUUCCUUGCACUUGAACUUAAGGAUGAAUGAAGGUAUAUACAAGUCUCUACUUCUCCUACAUAAAUGCCUUGCAUGGCGGGAACUAAAUCAACUACACAGACCCAUACAUCCAGAGAGCAGAGGUGAGCUGGAUACAAGUGGCUUAGAGAUGUGGUGGAAGGAGGCCAGAGCUCCAAGGGAAGGGCAGCAAGGAGACAACAGCAUGGGUUGCAGCUCAGACAACAGGUAAAUAAAACCAAGCAAAGCUGCUGGUCACAGAUUUGACCAGGGUGGCAAGAAAUGACAAGCUACCAUGAGAUUCAACAGUGGCACGGAAGGAUGAUGAGAAGCAAACAGAUUAGGAGAAGCUGCCACCACCGUACAUAGAGGCACAGAUGACCAAGCAGAACAGCACCAGUCCCUGCAAGGUGUGCUCAGAUACAGCUCAGCACAGCCAUCUGGCCAGGAGGGAAUGAUAAUGCACAUGGUGUGCACUGCAGCCGGGAAGUUGAGAACCGCUGUGGGCACCUCAGGACUGAGUCUGGUUACCCUGCUGAUCCAAGAAAUGAAGCCAUCUAAAAUUUUGCCUGCUUUCACAAUUUUCUGUGUGUGUGUGUGUGUAUUAAACAAAGUGAACUAAGAA
This 1446-nucleotide long non-coding RNA is filed under the name Homo sapiens (human). Its description in RNAcentral is "ZBTB20 antisense RNA 1". The record is from RNAcentral. Lineage: Eukaryota; Metazoa; Chordata; Mammalia; Primates; Hominidae.